UGUCUAUAUAGCUUAUUAAAGUGAUACUCUGAAGAGGUAAAGAUGAUUAUGAUCUGUGGACAU
RNAcentral lists this transfer RNA (63 nucleotides) under Linognathus vituli. RNAcentral's name for it is "tRNA-Phe". Lineage: Eukaryota; Metazoa; Arthropoda; Insecta; Psocodea; Linognathidae. The record is from RNAcentral.